CAAUACGAAAGUUGUUUGGAUUGAUGAGAUCUAUAUGUGUACCGAGUUUCAUACGUCUACGUGCAAGUAUGUAUGAUAUAUGGCCCUCCAUAUUCCAGGGGGCGCUGUAGAGCCCCAGUGCCACGCCCGUGUAUCAGUCUCUGCCCGGCCCUAAUGGCCGCAGGUUCCAAUGUGUGUGCCAAUUUUCAAGACUUUUUAAGCAUGUUAAGGUCCCCAAAAGCCCCGGAGACGUUGGAAAAAAAUAAUAAGAAUAAGAAAUAUAGCUGCAAGCAGCGAUGGCGGGCUCAAGCCAUCAGUGCAAACGCCACCCCGGUGGCAUCAGGUAAACUGUGCCCAGCGGGCACAUGCAUUUACAGUAAUCCUCUGGCACUCAGGUUUUAAGGGAUACGGCAAUUAACGGGUUAAUCCGAAGCAUCAAGACUUUGAAAUCACAUACACAGAACAAUAUUCAUUAAGAAAGUGAAAUUAAAUGAUUAAUAAACUAUUUAUUCGAACCCUCG
This is a long non-coding RNA of Cyprinus carpio carpio, 500 nucleotides long. The record is from Ensembl. Lineage: Eukaryota; Metazoa; Chordata; Actinopteri; Cypriniformes; Cyprinidae.